Herpailurus yagouaroundi (jaguarundi) is the source of this 890-nucleotide long non-coding RNA. RefSeq lists it as uncharacterized. NCBI's taxonomy places the organism in Eukaryota, Metazoa, Chordata, Mammalia, Carnivora, Felidae. The record is from RefSeq and is a predicted model, not a curated record. The transcript has 3 exons.
AGGAGUUGCAGCCUUCAGAUGACUGGGGUUCAUGCUGUAUGACUGCUUAUUCCUCUUGAUCAGGAAGCCAGAGCAAUUCCACUGGAGACCAUCCAUCACAGAAAAGGCCAAGGAGGAUAACGGAAAAGGAAGAGUUGUCCAAUCAAACAUCGUGGAGAACACAGACUAAGAAAUGACUCCCAGAAAAUAUCACUGGAGCAAAUCAAGGAACAGUCCCUACCAUUAGUGUAGAGGAACUUGCAACUUCUGUUCAGUGGAAUAUCAGAACUGUUAUUCACCAGUGACUGGUCACUGAAUCAAGAAGAGCAGCCAGCAGACAUGAUAUAUAUUCACCAGAUUCUGGACAUCUGAGCCCAAUGCCUGGUAUUUUUGGGAAAUUGGGGAGAGGUGAAAGCGUCUUGUGAGCAGAAGAACAAAUUGGGGCAGACUGCAUGAUUAUUCAUAAUUAUUUGUCUUCUCACUGCCAUUGCCAGUCUUCUCAAUAGAUGGAGUACAUUUGUUCACUCCACUGGCUCUGGGUGUGGCUAUGUGAUUUGCUUUGGCCAAAGGAACCAGAAUGAAUGAGAUGUUUGUCAUGACUGAAAACAUGAUUUCAAAAGCACUGCAAGUUUCCAUCAGUCUUUUCGCUGUCUCGGAAAGUGGCUUUAACCUGGUUUUCAGAAUGAGAAGACAUGUAGGACCCAAAACAGACCAGCAGUGCUGCAGCUGACCCCCAACCUCAAUAUAAUAUGAGCCAGAAAUCAAUAUUUCUUGUUGUAAUCCAAAAAAAAUUAUGUAUUACAACAACAGAAGUUAAUACAUGAGAAUGUUUUGAGCAUUUGAUGUGAUAACACAUGCUUAAUGCAAUGGCUGGCACAUCCUAAAUUCAAAAUAAAUGUUCAGUUCUGUCA